This 468-nucleotide ribosomal RNA is filed under the name uncultured bacterium. RNAcentral's name for it is "partial 16S ribosomal RNA". It matches the Rfam family "Bacterial small subunit ribosomal RNA", at positions 28 to 507 of the family's 1533-position model. The record is from RNAcentral.
GACGAACGCUGGCGGCGUGCUUAACACAUGCAAGUCGAACGGAAAGGCCCUGCUUUUGUGGGGUGCUCGAGUGGCGAACGGGUGAGUAAUACGUGAGUAACCUGCCCUUGACUUUGGGAUAACUUCAGGAAACUGGGGCUAAUACCGGAUAGGAGCUCCUGCUGCAUGGUGGGGGUUGGAAAGUUUCGGCGGUUGGGGAUGGACUCGCGGCUUAUCAGCUUGUUGGUGGGGUAGUGGCUUACCAAGGCUUUGACGGGUAGCCGGCCUGAGAGGGUGACCGGCCACCUUGGGCCUGAGAUACGGCCCAGACUCCUACGGGAGGCAGCAGUGGGGAAUAUUGCACAAUGGGCGGACGCCUGAUGCAGCAACGCCGCGUGCGGGAUGACGGCCUUCGGGUUGUAAACCGCUUUCGCCUGUGACGAAGCGUGAGUGACGGUAAUGGGUAAAGAAGCACCGGCUAACUACGUG